Molecule: ribosomal RNA, 254 nt
Filed under: uncultured bacterium
Lineage: Bacteria
Description: partial 16S ribosomal RNA
Rfam family: Bacterial small subunit ribosomal RNA
Source: RNAcentral
UACGAAGGGGGCGAGCGUUGUUCGGAAUCACUGGGCGUAAAGGGCGCGUAGGCGGCCCUCCUUGUCGCGUGUGAAAGCCCCGGGCUCAACCUGGGAAUGGCAGUGGAAACUAGGGGACUGGAAUCUGGCAGAGGGGGGGUGGAAUGCCGCGUGUAGCAGUGAAAUGCGUAGAGAUGCGGCGGAACACCGAUGGCGAAGGCAGCCCCCUGGGCUGAGAUUGACGCUCAGGCACGAAAGCGUGGGGAGCAAACAGG